Molecule: transfer RNA, 72 nt
Organism: Strongyloides venezuelensis
Lineage: Eukaryota; Metazoa; Nematoda; Chromadorea; Rhabditida; Strongyloididae
Rfam family: tRNA
About the family: Transfer RNA (tRNA) molecules are approximately 80 nucleotides in length. Their secondary structure includes four short double-helical elements and three loops (D, anti-codon, and T loops). Further hydrogen bonds mediate the characteristic L-shaped molecular structure. tRNAs have two regions of fundamental functional importance: the anti-codon, which is responsible for specific mRNA codon recognition, and the 3' end, to which the tRNAs corresponding amino acid is attached (by aminoacyl-tRNA synthetases). tRNAs cope with the degeneracy of the genetic code in two manners: having more than one tRNA (with a specific anti-codon) for a particular amino acid; and 'wobble' base-pairing, i.e. permitting non-standard base-pairing at the 3rd anti-codon position.
Source: Rfam
UCCCAUGUGGUCUAGUGGUCAGGAUUCGUGGUUUUCACCCACGCGGCCCGGGUCCGAUUCCCGGCAUGGGAA